AACGAACGCUGGCGGCAGGCUUAACACAUGCAAGUCGAACGCGUGUAGCAAUACACGAGUGGCGCACGGGUGAGUAACGCGUGGAUAUCUGCCUUUUGGUUCGGAAUAACCCCGGGAAACUGGGGCUAAUACCGGAUGGUUCCUUCGGGAUAAAGAUUUAUCGCCAAAAGAUGAGUCCGCGUACGAUUAGCUAGUUGGUGAGGUAAUGGCUCACCAAGGCGACGAUCGUUAGCUGGUCUGAGAGGACGAUCAGCCACACUGGGACUGAGACACGGCCCAGACUCCUACGGGAGGCAGCAGUGGGGAAUAUUGGACAAUGGGGGCAACCCUGAUCCAGCCAUGCCGCGUGAGUGAUGAAGGCCUUCGGGUUGUAAAGCUCUUUUGGCGGGGACGAUGAUGACGGUACCCGCAGAAUAAGCCCCGGCUAACUUCGUGCCAGCAGCCGCGGUAAGACGAAGGGGGCUAGCGUUGUUCGGAAUUACUGGGCGUAAAGCGCGUGUAGGCGGUUUUCCAAGUUGGGUGUGAAAGCCUUGGGCUUAACCCAAGAAAUGCACUCAGUACUGGAAGACUAGAGGACCGGAGAGGAUAGUGGAAUUCCCAGUGUAGUGGUGAAAUAGGUAGAGAUUGGGAAGAACACCAGUGGCGAAGGCGGCUAUCUGGACGUUUC
This 667-nucleotide ribosomal RNA is filed under the name uncultured bacterium. Its description in RNAcentral is "bacterial SSU rRNA". It matches the Rfam family "Bacterial small subunit ribosomal RNA", at positions 28 to 739 of the family's 1533-position model. The record is from RNAcentral.